Molecule: ribosomal RNA, 662 nt
Filed under: Synechocystis sp. PCC 6803
Lineage: Bacteria; Bacillati; Cyanobacteriota; Cyanophyceae; Synechococcales; Merismopediaceae
Description: bacterial SSU rRNA
Rfam family: Bacterial small subunit ribosomal RNA
Source: RNAcentral
CGGACGGGUGAGUAACGCGUGAGAACCUACCUUCAGAAUGGGGACAACAGUUGGAAACGACUGCUAAUACCCAAUGUGCCGAAAGGUGAAAGAUUUAUCGUCUGAAGAUGGGCUCGCGUCUGAUUAGCUAGAUGGUGGGGUAAGAGCCUACCAUGGCAACGAUCAGUAGCUGGUCUGAGAGGAUGAGCAGCCACACUGGGACUGAGACACGGCCCAGACUCCUACGGGAGGCAGCAGUGGGGAAUUUUCCGCAAUGGGCGAAAGCCUGACGGAGCAAUACCGCGUGAGGGAGGAAGGUCCUUGGAUUGUAAACCUCUUUUAUCAGGGAAGAAGUUCUGACGGUACCUGAUGAAUAAGCAUCGGCUAACUCCGUGCCAGCAGCCGCGGUAAUACGGAGGAUGCAAGCGUUAUCCGGAAUUAUUGGGCGUAAAGCGUCCGUAGGUGGUUAUGCAAGUCUGCCGUUAAAGAAUGGAGCUUAACUCCAUAGGAGCGGUGGAAACUGCAAGACUAGAGUACAGUAGGGGUAGCAGGAAUUCCCAGUGUAGCGGUGAAAUGCGUAGAUAUUGGGAAGAACAUCGGUGGCGAAAGCGUGCUACUGGGCUGAAACUGACACUGAGGGACGAAAGCUAGGGUAGCGAAAGGGAUUAGAUACCCCUGUAGUC